CCACGUUUCGACAGGUCGCCGCUCGUGUCUGCCGUGUGGCGAGGACCGCGAAGCGAGCGGGGUGCUGCUCUCCAUCGACCACCCGGAGGGCGUGGUCAAGCUGGACCAGGAGGAGGUGAAGAUGCUGCAGAUGCGCUACCUGUGCAAGCUGCACGUCUGAGUGCCGCGCGGGCCGGGCGCCGCGCCUUCUCCGUCUCUCCCGGCCGGUGGCCGUCCGCGACCGGUCGGCGGCCGCGGCCGGGCUUACUACAUAUGUUCUGCGCGCGUGCGGCGGUGCUGGGAGCUGUCUGUGUCUGGGGCGGGCCGCCUCUGCUGCUGAGCUAUCCGCCAACGUCACUAUCCAAUACACACGACCUUAGA
Long non-coding RNA from Amphibalanus amphitrite, 360 nucleotides. RefSeq lists it as uncharacterized. Lineage: Eukaryota; Metazoa; Arthropoda; Thecostraca; Balanomorpha; Balanidae. The record is from RefSeq and is a predicted model, not a curated record. The transcript is spliced from 2 exons.